UGCGAGUUCGCGGGAGAGUAAGUUAUUGCCAGGGUUUUUAUUUUAUACUUUAAACAUUGAUUUUAUUUUUUAUGUUUUUAGAUAUUUAUGUUUUUGAAUGUUUUAUUCAAAUAAUAUAAAAAAUAAAAUAUAUAUUGACAUGGAUUAAACAAAGAUAUAUAUUAUUCUAUAUUGUAUAAACAAAUUGGCAAAAUAGAGAUGGAAGAUAAAAAUAUGGUCAAAGUAAUAAGAGUCUAUGGUGAAUGCCUAGGAGC
Molecule: unclassified non-coding RNA, 254 nt
Filed under: Borreliella garinii
Lineage: Bacteria; Pseudomonadati; Spirochaetota; Spirochaetia; Spirochaetales; Borreliaceae
Description: partial 5S-23S ribosomal RNA intergenic spacer
Source: RNAcentral